CACAGCCUCGAUAUUUGUGUUCAUUUUAAAUGGAAAUAAAUCAUGAAAUGAUUGCAAAGGAGAAUCGGCGUCGAAAGGAUUCUGAAUUCAAGUUUGGUCUUCUUUUUUCGUAAUCGCCGUCUUCUCCCCUCUCUGCGGUGGAAUUGAUAUUUUUUCCUAAAACCUUAACAAGGAUUCAUACCACAAAGCACCUUAAUAGAGUCGAGCAGUAUAGCAGUGAAGGUUUGGUUGGGAAUGGCGAAAGCAAACCUUAAAACCCUUGGAUUAGUGAACAAGCGAAAGCACAUGGAUGUUCCAACACAAAUCGUUGUGUCUCCCAUUGAUGUGGUGAAAAAGUCGAGAUACGAGAAGGAUCAGUUACACUGUGAUGAAUUACAUCAUCUGCAAAAGAAAGAGAUUGCAGAUUAGAAAAAUAGGUUAUCUAUAUGCAUUAUCUGGGUUCUUAUUGUCUGUUGUAGUUCGUGCAAUAUAAAUGUUUGGUUCAUAA
Molecule: long non-coding RNA, 487 nt
Organism: Salvia miltiorrhiza (redroot sage)
Lineage: Eukaryota; Viridiplantae; Streptophyta; Magnoliopsida; Lamiales; Lamiaceae
Exons: 2
Source: RefSeq, a predicted model, not a curated record